This 508-nucleotide ribosomal RNA is filed under the name uncultured bacterium. RNAcentral describes it as "bacterial SSU rRNA". It matches the Rfam family "Bacterial small subunit ribosomal RNA", at positions 8 to 525 of the family's 1533-position model. The record is from RNAcentral.
AGGGUUUGAUCAUGGCUCAGGACGAACGCUGGCGGUGCGCCUUAUGCAUGCAAGUCGAGCGAAGCUUUUCAGUAGUUUACUACAGAAAAUGACUGAGCGGCGAACGGGUGAGUAACGCGUGAGCAAUCUACCUUAGUUACAGGGAUAGCCCGAGGAAACUCGGAUUAAUACCUGAUAUUCUUUAUUUCUCACAUGAGAAUAAAAGGGAAGGUCAGCCGAACUAAGAUGAGCUCGCGUUCUAUCAGCUUGUUGGUGAGGUAAAAGCUUACCAAGGCUACGACGGAUAGCUGGUCUGAGAGGACGAUCAGCCACACUGGGACUGAGACACGGCCCAGACUCCUACGGGAGGCUGCAGCAGGGAAUAUUGUGCAAUGAACGAAAGUUUGACACAGCGACACCGCGUGUGGGAUGACGGAUCUAGGUUUGUAAACCACUUUCAGGAGGGAAGAAAAUGACGGUACCUCCACAAGAAGCCCCGGCCAACUACGUGCCAGCCGCCGCGGUAAUA